This 83-nucleotide transfer RNA is filed under the name Bacteroidales bacterium. RNAcentral's name for it is "tRNA-Tyr". It matches the Rfam family "tRNA". Rfam says of the family: Transfer RNA (tRNA) molecules are approximately 80 nucleotides in length. Their secondary structure includes four short double-helical elements and three loops (D, anti-codon, and T loops). RNAcentral also lists the same sequence under 2 other names. Lineage: Bacteria; Pseudomonadati; Bacteroidota; Bacteroidia; Bacteroidales. The record is from RNAcentral.
GGGGAGAUACCAAAGUGGCCAACUGGAGCAGACUGUAAAUCUGUUGUCUUUCGACUUCGGAGGUUCGAAUCCUUCUCUCCCCA